GUGAGUCAUCGAAUCUUUGAACGCACCUUGUGCCCUUUGGACAUCCAAGGGGCAUGCCUGUUUGAGUGUCUUGAAGCUCUCAAGCCAGCCUACCUUGCUGUGGGGUGGUUUGGAUAUUGGAUGCUUCUGCUGGACUUUUUUGAUAAAGGUCGGCUCAUCCAAAAUGCAUUUUGCGGCUUGGUCUGUGAACUCGGUGUGAUAAGGCAUCACUCGCCGGGUGUAACGGGCUUUGAAAAGCUGCUCCGUUUUUGCCCUCUUGAAGAGGAUGCAAAGUGAUUUGACCUCAAAUCAGGUAGGAUUACCCGCUGAACUUAAGCAUAUCAAUAAGCGGAGGA
Molecule: unclassified non-coding RNA, 335 nt
Filed under: Agaricales sp.
Lineage: Eukaryota; Fungi; Basidiomycota; Agaricomycetes; Agaricales
Description: partial contains 5.8S ribosomal RNA, internal transcribed spacer 2, and large subunit ribosomal RNA
Rfam family: Eukaryotic large subunit ribosomal RNA (bases 279-335)
Source: RNAcentral